AACGAACGCUGGCGGCGCGCCUAAUACAUGCAAGUCGAGCGAGAAGACGUAGCAAUACGUUUGUAAAGCGGCGAACGGGUGAGGAAUACAUGGGUAACCUACCCUCGAGUGGGGAAUAACUAGCCGAAAGGUUAGCUAAUACCGCGUACGCUCCUUGGACUUCGGUUCAGGGAGGAAAGCGAUACCGUGGGUAUCGCGCUCUUGGAUGGGCUCAUGUCCUAUCAGCUUGUUGGUGAGGUAACGGCUCACCAAGGCUUCGACUGGUAGCUGGUCUGAGAGGACGAUCAGCCACACUGGCACUGCGACACGGGCCAGACUCCUACGGGAGGCAGCAGUAAGGAAUAUUGCGCAAUGGGCGAAAGCCUGACGCAGCGACGCCGC
RNAcentral lists this ribosomal RNA (381 nucleotides) under uncultured bacterium. RNAcentral's name for it is "bacterial SSU rRNA". It matches the Rfam family "Bacterial small subunit ribosomal RNA", at positions 29 to 400 of the family's 1533-position model. The record is from RNAcentral.